GACGAACGCUGGCGGCGUGCUUAACACAUGCAAGUCGAACGAGAGGACAAGAGAAGCUUGCUUCUUUUGGAAUCGAGUGGCAAACGGGUGAGUAACACGUAAACAACCUGCCUUCAGGAUGGGGACAACAGACGGAAACGACUGCUAAUACCGAAUACGCUUGGGAGACCGCAUGAUCUACCAAGGAAAGGGUGGCCUCUACCUGUAAGCUAUCGCCUGAAGAGGGGUUUGCGUCUGAUUAGGCAGUUGGUGAGGUAACGGCCCACCAAACCUACGAUCAGUAGCCGGUCUGAGAGGAUGAACGGCCACACUGGAACUGAGACACGGUCCAGACUCCUACGGGAGGCAGCAGUGGGGAAUCUUCCGCAAUGGGCGAAAGCCUGACGGAGCAACGCCGCGUGAGUGAUGACGGCCUCGGUGUAAGACGUCUGUGAUC
This 436-nucleotide ribosomal RNA is filed under the name uncultured bacterium. RNAcentral's name for it is "bacterial SSU rRNA". It matches the Rfam family "Bacterial small subunit ribosomal RNA", at positions 28 to 440 of the family's 1533-position model. The record is from RNAcentral.